Molecule: long non-coding RNA, 1160 nt
Organism: Neogale vison (American mink)
Lineage: Eukaryota; Metazoa; Chordata; Mammalia; Carnivora; Mustelidae
Exons: 3
Source: RefSeq, a predicted model, not a curated record
UCUGAGCAAGUGUGUGCUGGUCUUCUUGAAGUCCUGACCAUACUCGCUGUGUUCUAGCUCAUAUUGAACCUGAUACACCAGCCUUGCAGAUACAACAUUCAUACCCUCACAGACAGACCCACUGGAUGCGGUGAGCAAGCCAGACAGCCCUGGAGAGACCACACGGAGGCACCGUCUUGCAGUAGAUUUUCAUAUAACUGGCGACGAGGUGAAUGAUUGUUAUAACAGAAAUGGACGCUGGUGGGUCAUGACAGGAGCAAUGGCUCCCUGUAAGGAGUUCUGAGGCAAAGCUGUUGGGUAAAUACGUAGUGCAGGGGUCAGUUGCUGAAAAUGAAUCAGAUUUUCGGAACAAUGGCCAACAAAUUGUACUUAGUCCUCCUAAUGAACAAAUGGGAAGUUGAGGCAACUAUGGGUGAUCUGACCCAUUUUCCACUCCUAAACUCACAAAGUCUGCUAUAAGAAGGAACCUUGAAUGACGACUAGUUGAGGGUCUUAGUCUCAGGCCUACACACUGGAAGGUUUCUUAGAAGGAUUUCUCCCACCCAUUGGUAUCUGCAAGACAUUACAAUUCAGAAGGAUGUGAAAAGUUCAUGAAUGCAUUAUCCAUCGCCGUAUAAAGAUUACUCCCAAACUUACUGGGACAAUAAACAUUUAUUAUCUCGUGGUUUCUGUGGGUCAGGAAUUCCGAAGCGCUUUAUCUGGGUGGUUCAAGCUCACGGUCUCAUGAAGUCUCAGGAAUGAUAAAGACCUGAGAGGGGGAAAAAAAAAAAAAAGAAGAAGAAGAAGAAGAAAAAAAAAAGACAGAAAGCAUCUCUGUGUCUUCUAUCUCCAUGGAAAAAGAAAGGGAAGAGGAUGGAAUUUUGCUAUGAGGAUUAAUUUAGACAAUAAAGAGAAAAGGCUUAGCUCAGUGUGUGGCAGAAGGUAGAAACCUGUAAGGGGCUCUUUUGUUCUCCCUCUUUCUUUCCCUUCAGGGUAAUGAGACACCAUCUGAAUGACAGUUAAAUGCCCCCAGCUCCGAGUGAGCCUUCCGGUUCUGCCUCCCCUCCGGCGCACUCCAGCCAUAGUUUCCAAAUCCAAGGAAGGGAUUCAGCCUUGGCGGUUUAAGUUUGUUUUCCCUGAGGAAGAUUGGCUGAGGCUUAAUAAAGUCAGGAUGUAUGAGA